CAUGCUAGAGCACUUUUUCAAUGGGCUCCCCAAAGACAAGGCGACGCAUUCGUAUGUCAUCCAUAUCAACUUUCAAUGCCACUUUCUGUGCCUACCAUGGUGACCAUGGGUAACAGGGAAUCAGGGUUCGAUUCCGGAGAGGGAGCCUGAGAAAAGGUUACCACAUACAAGGAAGGCAGCAG
Molecule: non-coding RNA, 182 nt
Organism: Pelobates cultripes (western spadefoot toad)
Lineage: Eukaryota; Metazoa; Chordata; Amphibia; Anura; Pelobatidae
Source: the annotation of a GenBank genome assembly